AGUGAACGCUGGCGGUAGGCCUAACACAUGCAAGUCGAACGGCAGCACAGUAAGAGCUUGCUCUUACGGGUGGCGAGUGACGGACGGGUGAGGAAUACAUCGGAAUCUACUUUUUCGUGGGGGAUAACGUAGGGAAACUUACGCUAAUACAGCAUACGACCUACGGGUGAAAGCAGGGGAUCUUCGGACCUUGCGCGACUGAAUGAGCCGAUGUCGGAUUAGCUAGUUGGCGGGGUAAAGGCACACCAAGGCGACGAUACGUAGCUGAUCUGAGAGGAUGAUCAGCCACACUGGAACUGAGACACGGUCCAGACUCCUACGGGAGGCAGCAGUGGGGAAUAUUGGACAAUGGGCGCAAGCCUGAUCCAGCCAUACCGCGUGGGUGAAGAAGGCCUUCGGAUUGUAAAGCCCUUUUGUUGGGAAAGAAAAGCAGCAGGUUAAUACCCCGCUGUUCUGACGGUACCCAAUGAAUAAGCACCGGCUAACUUCGUG
Molecule: ribosomal RNA, 492 nt
Filed under: uncultured bacterium
Lineage: Bacteria
Description: partial 16S ribosomal RNA
Rfam family: Bacterial small subunit ribosomal RNA
Source: RNAcentral